RNAcentral lists this ribosomal RNA (501 nucleotides) under uncultured bacterium. RNAcentral's name for it is "partial 16S ribosomal RNA". It matches the Rfam family "Bacterial small subunit ribosomal RNA", at positions 30 to 523 of the family's 1533-position model. The record is from RNAcentral.
AUUGAACGCUGGCGGCAGGCUUAACACAUGCAAGUCGAGCGGAGAUGAGGUGCUUGCACCUUAUCUUAGCGGCGGACGGGUGAGUAAUGCUUAGGAAUCUGCCUAUUAGUGGGGGACAACAUUCCGAAAGGAAUGCUAAUACCGCCUACGUCCUACGGGAGAAAGCAGGGGAUCUUCUGACCUUGCGCUAAUAGAUGAGCCUAAGUCGGAUUAGCUAGUUGGUGGGGUAAAGGCCUACCAAGGCGACGAUCUGGAGCGGAUCUGAGAGGAUGAUCCGCCACACUGGGACUGAGACACGGCCCAGACUCCUACGGGAGGAAGCAGUGGGGAAUAUUGGACAAUGGGGGGAACCCUGAUCCAGCCAUGCCGCGUGUGUGAAGAAGGCCUUAUGGUUGUAAAGCACUUUAAGCGAGGAGGAGGCUACUGAGACUAAUACUCUUGGAUAGUGGACGUUACUCGCAGAAUAAGCACCGGCUAACUCUGUGCCAGCCGCCGCGGUAA